Molecule: non-coding RNA, 113 nt
Organism: Acanthosepion pharaonis
Lineage: Eukaryota; Metazoa; Mollusca; Cephalopoda; Sepiida; Sepiidae
Source: the annotation of a GenBank genome assembly
UUACAACCAUAUCAGGUUGAAACACUGGUUUCUGUACGCUCACCUAAGUUAAGCAGCGUCGAGAUUGGUCACUACUUAGAUGGGUGACCACUUGGGAAUACGAAGUGUUGUAA